RNAcentral lists this long non-coding RNA (619 nucleotides) under Phoenix dactylifera (date palm). RNAcentral describes it as "long non-coding RNA (PDAC_LNC020504)". The record is from RNAcentral. Lineage: Eukaryota; Viridiplantae; Streptophyta; Magnoliopsida; Arecales; Arecaceae.
GAGAUUGUGGAGUGAUCGAUUAAAACCCCGUUUGAUUUUGAUGAGCUCAAAGCAUUUGAGUAUAUCUUGUGAUUACUAAUGAAUUCAAUUGAGUGUUUCAGUGAAAAAUCCUGUCCAAGUGUCUCUAGACUUGGUUCAUAACAUUUUGGAUAAGUUAAGAAGUCUGCAUGAACCAAUGUCUGAGAUACGAGUCGACUCCCGAGUUUCACGAGUCGACUCCAAGCGUAUCAAGGUCACUGGCAUGAGCUCGAGUCGACUCCUGAUCAGUACGAGUCGACUCCGACUGAAAACAGACAGAAGGACAGAAGAGCAGUUUUUCAGGUCUGAGAUUCGAGUCGACUCCAGUGGAAUGCGAGUCGACUCCCAGCGGUACACACAGAAAAAGCAGAGAGCGUUUUAUGGACUCUGAGAUUCGAGUCGACUCCCGCAGUACGCGAGUCGACUCCGAGACUGUGCGACCAUCGACAGACAGAAGACCAACUUUUGGAAACUGAGAGCCGAGUCGACUCCAAGGAAGUUCGAGCCGACUCCAAGACUGGAUGAGCCAAAAGACAGAGAAUCGGAAGUUCGGGCUCUGAGAUUCGAGUCGACUCCCAGGACAGUCGAGUCGACUCGAGUG